RNAcentral lists this transfer RNA (74 nucleotides) under SAR324 cluster bacterium. RNAcentral's name for it is "tRNA-Arg". It matches the Rfam family "tRNA". Rfam says of the family: Transfer RNA (tRNA) molecules are approximately 80 nucleotides in length. Their secondary structure includes four short double-helical elements and three loops (D, anti-codon, and T loops). Lineage: Bacteria; Deltaproteobacteria. The record is from RNAcentral.
GUGCCCGUAGCUCAGCUGGAUAGAGCAGUGGACUUCGAAUCCGAAGGUCGCAGGUUCGAAUCCUGCCGGGCAUA